UUUGAUGUGAUCGGAAUUUAGGGUUAGGA
RNAcentral lists this small RNA (29 nucleotides) under Arabidopsis thaliana (thale cress). Its description in RNAcentral is "ATSL305820". Lineage: Eukaryota; Viridiplantae; Streptophyta; Magnoliopsida; Brassicales; Brassicaceae. The record is from RNAcentral.